UGCAGGCAUCAAGUUUCCAGACUUCAAGUCUGCAGGUGUCACGCUGCGGAGCCAACGGAUGAAGCUGCCAAGCUCUGUGGGACAGAAGAAGAUCAAGGCCCUGGAACAGAUGCUGCUGGAGCUUGGUGUGGAGCUGAGCCCGACACCUACGGAGGAGCUGGUGCACAUGUUCAAUGAGCUGCGAAGCGACCUGGUGCUGCUCUAUGAGCUCAAGCAGGCCUGUGCCAACUGCGAGUAUGAGCUGCAGAUGCUGCGGCACCGUCAUGAGGCACUGGCCCGGGCUGGUGUGCUAGGGGGCCCUGCCACACCAGCAUCAGGCCCAGGCCCGGCCUCUGCUGAGCCGGCAGUGACUGAACCCGGACUUGGCCCUGACCCCAAGGACACCAUCAUUGAUGUGGUGGGCGCACCCCUCACGCCCAAUUCGGUAAGAGUCUGGACAGGCUGGGAGGCACGCCUGGGCCCUGCGAGUGAGCACAUGCACAUGGGUGUAGGGGCUCCUCUCCCUCUAGUGCCUGCAGCAGGAACGAUCAUCACUUCUGUGCGAGUCUGAGACUGAGGAGAAAGCGACGGGAGUCGGCCUCCAGCUCAUCUUCCGUGAAGAAAGCCAAGAAGCCGUGAGAGGCCCCACGGGGUGUGGGCGACGCUGUUAUGUAAAUAGAGCUGCUGAGUUGGACCAGGCUG
Molecule: small RNA, 681 nt
Filed under: Pan troglodytes (chimpanzee)
Lineage: Eukaryota; Metazoa; Chordata; Mammalia; Primates; Hominidae
Description: processed transcript
Source: RNAcentral